RNAcentral lists this transfer RNA (72 nucleotides) under Camelus dromedarius (Arabian camel). It matches the Rfam family "tRNA". Rfam says of the family: Transfer RNA (tRNA) molecules are approximately 80 nucleotides in length. Their secondary structure includes four short double-helical elements and three loops (D, anti-codon, and T loops). RNAcentral also lists the same sequence under 1 other name. Lineage: Eukaryota; Metazoa; Chordata; Mammalia; Artiodactyla; Camelidae. The record is from Rfam by way of RNAcentral.
GAGGAUAUAGCUCAGUGGUAGAGUGUAUGCUUAGCAUGCACGAGGUCCUGGGUUCAAUUCCUAGUACCUCCA